GCUGGGUAUGGUGGCGCACGCCUGUAAUCUCAGCUACUCGGGAGGCUGAGGCAGGAGAAUUGCUUGAACCCGGGAGGUGGAGGUUGCAGUGAGCCAAGAUUGCGCCACUGCACUCCAGCCUGGGUGACAGAGCAAGACUCUGUCUCAA
Molecule: non-coding RNA, 148 nt
Filed under: Homo sapiens (human)
Lineage: Eukaryota; Metazoa; Chordata; Mammalia; Primates; Hominidae
Source: Rfam by way of RNAcentral